This 619-nucleotide ribosomal RNA is filed under the name Micropsalliota pleurocystidiata. RNAcentral's name for it is "eukaryotic LSU rRNA". The stretch from base 243 to 397 matches the Rfam family "5.8S ribosomal RNA". Lineage: Eukaryota; Fungi; Basidiomycota; Agaricomycetes; Agaricales; Agaricaceae. The record is from RNAcentral.
CCUUGAUAGGUUGUCGCUGGCUCUUAUGCAUGUGCACGCCUGUCUUGACUUCUAUUCAUCCACCUGUGCACCUUUUGUAGUCUUUUUGGGGGCUGGGAAAGAUAAUAGCUUUUGAGGCCUGCAAAGGUUUUCUUUUUGGCUGUUAUUGGAACCUCCCACUGGGGACUAUGUUUUUACAUAUACCAUAUAGAAUGUAACAGAAUGUUGUCAAUGGGCACUUGUGGCCUAUAUAAAAUCUAUACAACUUUCAGCAACGGAUCUCUUGGCUCUCGCAUCGAUGAAGAACGCAGCGAAAUGCGAUAAGUAAUGUGAAUUGCAGAAUUCAGUGAAUCAUCGAAUCUUUGAACGCACCUUGCGCUCCUUGGACAUUCCGAGGAGCAUGCCUGUUUGAGUGUCAUUAAAUUCUCAACUCCACCAGCUUUUGUGGCUGGCUCUUGGAGCUUGGAUGUGGAGGUUUUGCUGGCCUUUUUUUCUGGUCAGCUCCUCUGAAAUACAUUAGCGGAACCGUUUGCGAUCCGUCACAGGUGUGAUAAUUAUCUACAUCUAGUGGGUUGCUUUCUGUCUGUUCAGCUCAUAACUGUCCUGUUAAUGGACAAACUUUUUAAUGAACGUUUGACCU